AACAUCGCGCACCUGCGGGAACCUGCGGAGGGAUCAUUACAGAGUUGCAAAACUCCCUAAACCAUUGUGAACGUUACCUAACCGUUGCUUCGGCGGGCGGCCCGGGUCCUUCCCGGCGCCCCUCGGCCCUCGCGGGCGCCCGCCGGAGGUAAACCAAACUAUUGCAUUGUAUGGCCUCUCUGAGUCUUCUGUACUGAAUAAGUCAAAACUUUUAGCAACGGAUCUCAGAUCGGAAGAGCA
Molecule: unclassified non-coding RNA, 240 nt
Filed under: soil metagenome
Description: partial contains 5.8S ribosomal RNA, internal transcribed spacer 2, and large subunit ribosomal RNA
Source: RNAcentral